Molecule: long non-coding RNA, 973 nt
Organism: Hylaeus volcanicus
Lineage: Eukaryota; Metazoa; Arthropoda; Insecta; Hymenoptera; Colletidae
Exons: 3
Source: RefSeq, a predicted model, not a curated record
UCCUAUAAUAUCCCAUCACAAUAAUUUCAAAUUCUACUAUAUGCCGGUAUCUUAAUAUUAUUAAACAUUUCCUUUUUUAAAUUGAUGAAAACUUUUGAAUUCAUCUAAGAUUCCUCAGGAUUGCGAAUAAUAGCUGCAAGCCUGGCAAAUUAAAAACAGACCGUUUUAUAACAAAGUCUUUGAUAUAAACUUUAACCGAAUACUGUUUCUGAAUUUUGUAAGUAGUGUAAUAGAUACACAACAUUUUUGACAGUGUUCAAAGUUUUCGCAGUCCCUGUUGUCUCCACGCUGAAAUAUUUGGACUGGUACCUGUUUCGUGUAGAGGACCGCAGUAUUGAUCACUCGGGGAGGAAAAGGCACGUUGGGGGUGGCUGGCGAACACGUGGCACUGGUCCAACUUCGAAGGGAGGAUUUUUGUGGAAGAAAAAAUGGAAGCUGGUAGACAAAUAAAUUUCGUUAAAUAUAAUUUAAAAUUAAUCUACCUUCCCAAAGAGAAGAAGGACUCACGUAUCUCCAAGAAGCUCAAAGAAGGAUACUUGAGAAUAUUCAAUAGAAAUCCUUCGAGGACCUCAGCAAUGAAAAAUAUUCAAAUAAAGCCUUAAACGUAGUCUUCGUGGUCAUGUUUACCUUCUAAUACAGCAAUUGGGAGCACACAGAGCUUACACGAGAAUAAUCUACCUUGCAACGUGCUGGGUUAUUGAUCCACUUUGGCUGAAAUGCAGAUUUCACGUGCUCGAGGGUUCCAUGCAUUUCUUUUUAAUCGCAGCAUUACUCGUGCAGUGGUAUUGCUGGAAAAGAUUAAGAAUUUAAGUGAAAAAUUGUAUAGGGUUCGAAAAGGUUUGGAAACACGGGUUUUGGGAGGUGUCGUAACAUGGUCGAUGGCUUCCAACUGGAAGACGCUAUCGGAGGAGGCGGAGGGUCUCGAGUGGAAGGAGGGAGGGGGUGGGAACGAAGGGAGAACGCAAUCAGAGGG